AGAAAAAAAAACUGUGACACAAUCCACACACGAGUUGCAUAGCUAAAGAAGCACGCUUGGACAGAGUACUUUACAAAAGAAGAAUUAUUCAUUAUACAACAAAUGAAAGUCAUCUGCUCCAAUUAUUUAUGAGAUAAUGCGAUCCACGACACAGGGAUGUCUUACACAUGAGAACUACAAGUCACACAAGAAAACAAAUAUGACUUGAGCCUCACAGCGCUUUAAGAAGACGGGAAGAGCUUUUAACAAAUGAUAGAGCGCCAGAGCUUAUAACAAAUGAGGGAGUGCCAGUCCAGGGAAUAGGGGGGCACAGACGAUUGGUGUGCUGCUGCAAUAUAGUGAGGUCUGACCUUUAAUCAUUCCCAUGACUUAAAACUAGAUGAAAACUGAAGGCUAUUAAACAUCAC
Molecule: long non-coding RNA, 407 nt
Organism: Acipenser ruthenus (sterlet)
Lineage: Eukaryota; Metazoa; Chordata; Actinopteri; Acipenseriformes; Acipenseridae
Exons: 3
Source: RefSeq, a predicted model, not a curated record